RNAcentral lists this ribosomal RNA (414 nucleotides) under uncultured microorganism. Its description in RNAcentral is "bacterial SSU rRNA". It matches the Rfam family "Archaeal small subunit ribosomal RNA", at positions 459 to 872 of the family's 1478-position model. The record is from RNAcentral.
CAGCCGCCGCGGUAAUACCGGCGGCCCGAGUGGUGGCCGCUAUUAUUGGGCCUAAAGCGUCCGUAGCCGGGUUGGGAAGUCCUCCGGGAAAUCUGGCCGCUUAACGGUCAGAAUGCCGGAGGAUACUCCCAGCCUAGGGAGCGGGAGAGGCCGAGGGUAUUCCCGGAGUAGGGGUGAAAUCCUAUAAUCCCGGGAGGACCACCUGUGGCGAAGGCGCUCGGCUGGAACGCGUCCGACGGUGAGGGACGAAGGCCAGGGGAGCAAACCGGAUUAGAUACCCGGGUAGUCCUGGAUGUAAACGAUGCGGACUUUGUGUCGGACAAGCUAUGAGCUUGUCCGGUGCCGGAGGGAAACCGUUAAGUCCGCCGCCUGGGGAGUACGGCCGCAAGGCUGAAACUUAAAGGAAUUGGCGGG